CCCUUAGAUGUCCGGGGCCGCACGCGCGCUACACUGAAGGAAUCAGCGUGGCUUUCUCCCUGACCCGAAAGGGUUGGGAAACCCGUUGAAUCUCCUUCGUGAUAGGGAUUGGGGCUUGAAAUUGUUCCCCAUGAACGAGGAAUUCCCAGUAAGCGCUAGUCAUAAGCUCGCGUUGAUUACGUCCCUGCCCUUUGUACACACCGCCCGUCGCUACUACCGAUUGAACGGUUUAGUGAGGGCCUCGGAUUGGUCUCGGCCCGCUCUUUACCGGGCGGCGCCGUUGGUCGAGAAGACGCUCGAACUUGAUCGUUUAGAGGAAGUAAAAGUCGUAACA
Molecule: ribosomal RNA, 334 nt
Filed under: uncultured eukaryote
Lineage: Eukaryota
Description: partial 18S ribosomal RNA
Rfam family: Eukaryotic small subunit ribosomal RNA
Source: RNAcentral